AUUGAACGCUGGCGGCAGGCCUAACACAUGCAAGUCGAGCGGUAACACAGGGAGCUUGCUCUCGGGUGACGAGCGGCGGACGGGUGAGUAAUGUCUGGGAAACUGCCUGAUGGAGGGGGAUAACUACUGGAAACGGUAGCUAAUACCGCAUAAUGUCGCAAGACCAAAGAGGGGGACCUUCGGGCCUCUUGCCAUCAGAUGUGCCCAGAUGGGAUUAGCUAGUAGGUGGGGUAACGGCUCACCUAGGCGACGAUCCCUAGCUGGUCUGAGAGGAUGACCAGCCACACUGGAACUGAGACACGGUCCGGACUCCUACGGGAGGCAGCAGUGGGGAAUAUUGCACAAUGGGCGCAAGCCUGAUGCAGCCAUGCCGCGUGUAUGAAGAAGGCCUUCGGGUUGUAAAGUACUUUCAGCGGGGAGGAAGGCGAUAAGGUUAAUAACCUUGUCGAUUGACGUUACCCGCAGAAGAAGCACCGGCUAACUCCGUGCCAGCAGCCGCGGUAAUACGGAGGGUGCAAGCGUUAAUCGGAAUUACUGGGCGUAAAGCGCACGCAGGCGGUCUGUCAAGUCGGAUGUGAAAUCCCCGGGCUCAACCUGGGAACUGCAUUCGAAACUGGCAGGCUAGAGUCUUGUAGAGGGGGUAGAAUUCCAGGUGUAGCGGUGAAAUGCGUAGAGAUCUGGAGGAAUACCGGUGGCGAAGGCGGCCCCCUGGACAAAGACUGACGCUCAGGUGCGAAAGCGUGGGGAGCAAACAGGAUUAGAUACCCUGGUAGUCCACGCCGUAAACGAUGUCGACUUGGAGGUUGUGCCCUUGAGGCGUGGCUUCCGGAGCUAACGCGUUAAGUCGACCGCCUGGGGAGUACGGCCGCAAGGUUAAAACUCAAAUGAAUUGACGGGGGCCCGCACAAGCGGUGGAGCAUGUGGUUUAAUUCGAUGCAACGCGAAGAACCUUACCUACUCUUGACAUCCAGAGAACUUUCCAGAGAUGGAUUGGUGCCUUCGGGAACUCUGAGACAGGUGCUGCAUGGCUGUCGUCAGCUCGUGUUGUGAAAUGUUGGGUUAAGUCCCGCAACGAGCGCAACCCUUAUCCUUUGUUGCCAGCGGUCCGGCCGGGAACUCAAAGGAGACUGCCAGUGAUAAACUGGAGGAAGGUGGGGAUGACGUCAAGUCAUCAUGGCCCUUACGAGUAGGGCUACACACGUGCUACAAUGGCGCAUACAAAGAGAAGCGACCUCGCGAGAGCAAGCGGACCUCAUAAAGUGCGUCGUAGUCCGGAUUGGAGUCUGCAACUCGACUCCAUGAAGUCGGAAUCGCUAGUAAUCGUAGAUCAGAAUGCUACGGUGAAUACGUUCCCGGGCCU
This 1360-nucleotide ribosomal RNA is filed under the name uncultured bacterium. Its description in RNAcentral is "bacterial SSU rRNA". It matches the Rfam family "Bacterial small subunit ribosomal RNA", at positions 28 to 1381 of the family's 1533-position model. The record is from RNAcentral.